AGUAGAGGAGCCUCUCGCAGCCUACAACUCCCAUCAUCCCCUCUGGUGGCUCUCCUCGCCUGGGGAUGACGGGAGCUGUAGUCCGUGGACACCCCGGGACUCAGAAAGGCAAGAGGGGCCCUACGGAAUUGUUCUGCCCUCCUUGGAAGGCUGCUAUGACAACUUGGUGAGGCCUUUAGGGACAAAAUGGGUCAGAUUCAGACAGAGCUGGAUGCCACCGUUGGAGCAAGUCCCGCGGAGCACCUGCUCUGAGCAGCCCUGUUUAGGGAAGUUUUCAAUGUUUGAUGUUCUAUUGUAUUUUUAAUAUUUUGUUAAAAAAUACUGAAAUAUACUCAGAGUCGCAAAGUGAUUUCAUGCUCUUUAUUCAGCUCAUAGUGGUGAGGAGGAAUGAAUGAAAGUCCCCUCAAAGUAUCUGCUUUAUAUACAUUAUUUACACAAUGGGCUGCACAUGAUUGGCUAAUUCUGGAAUUCUACUGUAAGCCAAUCAGGUUGUGGAGUCACUUCUAUCUGGAGCAUGAUUGGGUGGUUCCUGCCAACCAAUCAUACUGCUGCAUUGUUCUAGGACCAAUCAGACUGCUGCAUUCUGAAUCCUAUUGUUCUUGGACCAAUCAGACUGCUGCAUUUUGGAUCCUAUUCUAGGACCAAUCAGACUGCUGCAGUUUGGAUCCUAUUCAACUCAGUACAUAACAAAUACAUUUGUCCAAAAACCAGAAGCCUUUUUGUUAGGUAUAAUAGGUGAAGAGAUACCAAGAGAGGAUAAAAGACUUUUUAUGUCUGCAACGACGGCAGGGAGAAUGCUACAACCCAGAGAUGGAAGGAAGGAGAAGCACCAACCAAAGAAGAAUGGCAGGUGAAACUGAUGGAGUACGCAGAGAUGGCAAAACUGACAGGGAAGCUCAGAAACCAGGAAGAUCAAGUAUUUUCUAAAGACUGGAGUAAAUUUGUAAUUUAUUUAAAAGACCACUGUAAACAGUUAAAAUCUUUGGCAGGGAUGUAAUGACAUUUGUAAUGUGGAAUUAUUUGUGGUAAUUAUGGUUAUAUGAUAAAUGGAUAAGGGUAAAACAUGCAGUAAACUUAAAUCUAAAUAUGGAACCCAUGGAGGGAGG
Podarcis lilfordi (Lilford's wall lizard) is the source of this 1106-nucleotide non-coding RNA. The record is from the annotation of a GenBank genome assembly. Lineage: Eukaryota; Metazoa; Chordata; Lepidosauria; Squamata; Lacertidae.